RNAcentral lists this ribosomal RNA (253 nucleotides) under uncultured bacterium. Its description in RNAcentral is "partial 16S ribosomal RNA". It matches the Rfam family "Bacterial small subunit ribosomal RNA", at positions 524 to 776 of the family's 1533-position model. The record is from RNAcentral.
UACGUAGGGUGCAAGCGUUGUCCGGAAUUAUUGGGCGUAAAGAGCUCGUAGGCGGUCUGUCGCGUCGGCUGUGAAAACCCGGAGCUCAACUCCGGGCCUGCAGUCGAUACGGGCAGACUAGAGUUCGGUAGGGGAGUCUGGAAUUCCUGGUGUAGCGGUGAAAUGCGCAGAUAUCAGGAGGAACACCGGUGGCGAAGGCGGGACUCUGGGCCGAUACUGACGCUGAGGAGCGAAAGCGUGGGGAGCAAACAGG